AGUCUUAUAGUCAUAUUAUGAUAUUAAAUUGCAAAUUUAAAGGUAAAAUUUAAAUUUUUAAGGCUU
RNAcentral lists this transfer RNA (66 nucleotides) under Psylliodes circumdatus. RNAcentral describes it as "tRNA-Cys". The record is from RNAcentral. Lineage: Eukaryota; Metazoa; Arthropoda; Insecta; Coleoptera; Chrysomelidae.